Molecule: ribosomal RNA, 890 nt
Filed under: uncultured bacterium
Lineage: Bacteria
Description: bacterial SSU rRNA
Rfam family: Bacterial small subunit ribosomal RNA
Source: RNAcentral
AGAGUUUGAUCAUGGCUCAGGACGAACGCUGGCGGCGUGCCUAACACAUGCAAGUCAAGGGCUACCCUCGGGUAGCACUGGCGCACGGGUGAGUAACGCGUGGGUAAUCUGCCCCUAUCUCUGACACAACAUCGAGAAAUCGGUGCUAAUAUCAGAUGAGGCCCGCAAGGGUCAAAGACCGCGAGGUUGGAUAGGGAUGAGCCUGCGUCCGAUUAGCUAGUUGGUAGGGUAAUGGCCUACCAAGGCGACGAUCGGUAGCUGGUCUGAGAGGAUGGUCAGCCACACUGGAACUGAGACACGGUCCAGACUCCUACGGGAGGCAGCAGUGAGGAAUAUUGCGCAAUGGGCGAAAGCCUGACGCAGCGACGCCGCGUGUGGGAUGAAGGAGCUUUGCUUCGUAAACCACUGUCGGACGGGAAGAAAAAGUUCCUACGGGGGCUUGGGACAGUACCGUCAGAGGAAGCACCGGCUAACUACGUGCCAGCAGCCGCGGUAAUACGUAGGGUGCGAGCGUUGUCCGGAAUUACUGGGUGUAAAGAGUGCGUAGGCGGGCAUGUGCGUCGGAGGUUAAAUACAACGGCUUAACCGUUGAACUGCCUUCGAAACGGCAUGUCUUGAAUGUGGGAGAGGAUGAUGGAAUUCCUGGUGUAGCGGUGAAAUGCGUAGAUAUCUGGAAGAACACCAGUAGCGAAGGCGGUCACCUGGCCCAAUACUGACGCUGAGGCUCGAAAGCUGGGGGAGCAAACAGGAUUAGAUACCCUGGUAGUCCCAGCCGUAAACGAUGGACACUAGUUGCCGGGAGAGUCAAUCCUUUCGGUGACGAAGCUAACGCAUUAAGUGUCCCGCCUGGGAAGUACGCCCGCAAGGGUGAAACUCAAAUGAAUUGACGG